CACGUUUCCUGCCUUUCCUGUGUAAAAUUAGCAGCAGGCUGUUCUUAUCUGUGCAGACCAGGGUUCCUGUGGGAUGGAUAGGAAAGGGAGGAGGGCACAAAAAGGAGGAGAGUCAAGACACUUGGCAUGAACAAUGAAGGCUGCUUUGUGUCACCACUGAUGGCAUUUCGCCAGAUUACAUGAGACGAGCCACAUAAUUGAAUUUUGUCCAGAUGAAAUCAUUUAGCACAAUGUGAUGCUGAGCGGUUUGUGUUGGACACUUCACCAUGAUGGAGGAUACAGAGGCUUCAUUAGGCUCUUUAAAA
Non-coding RNA from Danio rerio (zebrafish), 305 nucleotides. The record is from RefSeq and is a predicted model, not a curated record. NCBI's taxonomy places the organism in Eukaryota, Metazoa, Chordata, Actinopteri, Cypriniformes, Danionidae.